UACGAAGGGGGCUAGCGUUGUUCGGAAUUACUGGGCGUAAAGCGCGCGCAGGCGGUUUCUCAAGUCAGUGGUGAAAGCCCGGAACUCAACUCCGGAACUGCCAUUGAAACUGUGAGACUUGAGGACGAGAGAGGUGAGUGGAAUUCCCAGUGUAGAGGUGAAAUUCGUAGAUAUUGGGAAGAACACCGGUGGCGAAGGCGGCUCACUGGCUCGUUUCUGACGCUCAGGCGCGACAGCGUGGGGAUCAAACAGG
RNAcentral lists this ribosomal RNA (253 nucleotides) under uncultured bacterium. Its description in RNAcentral is "partial 16S ribosomal RNA". It matches the Rfam family "Bacterial small subunit ribosomal RNA", at positions 524 to 776 of the family's 1533-position model. The record is from RNAcentral.